UACUGGAGCUCCAUGACGAAACACUGC
This 27-nucleotide non-coding RNA is filed under the name Mus musculus (house mouse). Lineage: Eukaryota; Metazoa; Chordata; Mammalia; Rodentia; Muridae. The record is from RNAcentral.